Long non-coding RNA from Amphimedon queenslandica, 303 nucleotides. RefSeq lists it as uncharacterized. The record is from RefSeq and is a predicted model, not a curated record. NCBI's taxonomy places the organism in Eukaryota, Metazoa, Porifera, Demospongiae, Haplosclerida, Niphatidae. The transcript has 3 exons.
UGUAAUAGGAAGUUGGUCAAAGAAGUCAAGAGAAUAAGAUAAACAGAAACAACCAAUCUGUGUUUGGAUAUGGACUGGCCAACAGACUUGUUUUUAAAAAUUUAAGAGAGAAACUUGGACUCGAUCAACGCAGAUUCUGUAUUUCAGGGGGUGCCCCUUUACCUAAAGCAGUGACUGAUUUCUAUGCUGGUUUUGAUAUUGCUCUAUUGCAGUUGUAUGGAAUGUCAGAAACUUCAUCAGUAGCAACUGUGAACACUCUUGGUAACAGAUAAGCUUUCAAUCAGCUACACAUGUACAUGUACA